Molecule: ribosomal RNA, 467 nt
Filed under: uncultured bacterium
Lineage: Bacteria
Description: SSU rRNA
Rfam family: Bacterial small subunit ribosomal RNA
Source: RNAcentral
CUAGUUGGUGAGGUAACGGCUCACCAAGGCAACGACGGGUAGCUGGUCCGAGAGGAUGACCAGCCACAUUGGGACUGAGACACGGCCCAGACUCCUACGGGAGGCAGCAGUGGGGAAUCUUGCGCAAUGGGCGAAAGCCUGACGCAGCGACGCCGCGUGUGGGAUGAAGGUCUUCGGAUUGUAAACCACUGUCGCGAGGGACGAAAAUCUGACGGUACCUCGAAAGGAAGCACCGGCUAACUCUGUGCCAGCAGCCGCGGUAAUACAGAGGGUGCGAGCGUUGUCCGGAAUCACUGGGCGUAAAGGGCGCGUAGGCGGCCGGGUAAGUAGGGGGUGAAAUCUCAUGGCUCAACUGUGAGGCUGCCUUCUAGACUGCCUGGCUCGAGCAUGGUAGAGGCGAGUGGAAUUCCCGGUGUAGCGAUGGAAUGCGUAAAGAUCGGGAAGAACAUCGGUGGCGAAGGCGGCUC